Molecule: ribosomal RNA, 1045 nt
Filed under: Amynthas nubilis
Lineage: Eukaryota; Metazoa; Annelida; Clitellata; Crassiclitellata; Megascolecidae
Description: partial 12S ribosomal RNA
Source: RNAcentral
UAACUCGAUAAUCCACGCAUACCAAACCUUCUCUAGAUAUACAGCAUGUGUACUGCCGUUGUAAGCAUACCUUUAAAAGAUGAGUAUGCCACUAUGACUAUAACUCAUAUACAUCAGGUCAAAGUGCAGCUAAUAAGAAGGUGAUGAUGGGUUACAACCCCAAAACAGACUAUCAACUAAGAAAUUAAAAAUCUUACGAAAGUGGACUUGGCCGUAAUAAAUUCUAGUAUAAAGAAAUGAAUAAUAUCUAAGACAUGCACACAUCGCCCGUCACUCUAUCCUAAAGGUUAGAUAAGUCGUAACAAAGUAGGUGUAAUGGAAAUUGUACCUGUCGAAGUAUAGCAUAUAUAUAAUGCUUUUUACUUACACUAAAAAUAAAGUCAACACUUACUUCGCUCAAAAUAAAAAUCUUAAAAUUUAUUUCAUAUACAAAUAAUUAUAUCAAUAACUUCAUAGUACAGAAAUGGAAAAAAUAAUAAAUAAAAGUAAAUUUUAACAAAUGUACCUUGUGCAUUAUGGUUUUACAAGAAAAAAAUUAAAACAUAAGUCCCGAAUUCUUAAUGAGAUGUUAAACUGCUGUUACGAACCCACUAAUAGCUGUAGAAAAAGCUUUAAAAGACAGCUUAACAGAGGCUACAUACCAUUCGCAUAAGAAUAUAGCUGGUUUUCAACAAACAUUAUACAUUAAAACAUAUAAUAAUAUUAUAGUGUAAAAUUAUUGAGGAUAAGCCCAAUAACUUAAUGCAAUAUAAGCAUAUUCUACUAUGAUUAAUAGGCCUAAAAUCAGCCAAUUAAACUACCUUACCGUAAAAUUAAGUGAUAAAAUAUAUUUUAUAACAAUGCUAAAUAUAGUUGAAAGAAUGGGAGAACUAGUACACCCACAUAUAAAAUGUAAAAAUAAGUAUUAUAAAUAAAUAACUAUAUAAAUCCAGAAUCAACAACACAUAUAUGAUAAUAAUUAAUUAAGGAACUCGGCAAACUAUUAUUUCGACUGUUUAACAAAAACAUUGUCUUAUGGACCCUAAUAUAAGAUAAUACCUGCCCC